This 253-nucleotide ribosomal RNA is filed under the name uncultured bacterium. Its description in RNAcentral is "partial 16S ribosomal RNA". It matches the Rfam family "Bacterial small subunit ribosomal RNA", at positions 524 to 776 of the family's 1533-position model. The record is from RNAcentral.
UACGAAGGGGGCAAGCGUUGUUCGGAAUUACUGGGCGUAAAGGGCGCGUAGGCGGUGCACUAAGUCAGGCGUGAAAGCCCUGGGCUCAACCCGGGAAUUGCGCUUGAUACUGGUGCGCUUGAAUCCAGGAGAGGUUGGUGGAAUUCCCAGUGUAGAGGUGAAAUUCGUAGAUAUUCGCAAGAACACCAGUGGCGAAGGCGGCUCACUGGCCCGAUACUGACGCUGAGGCACGAAAGCGUGGGGAGCAAACAGG